UCAGCUUGCACCAUCAUGUCUACAGCCCACACUGUCAUUUCAAAGAAGACUGCCUGUGUAAUAAAACAAGUUCACUCUCCAGAGUUUUCUAGUAGAUUAAAUGAAACAGCAGCUGACGAGCACCGACUGCGAGGUUUUUCCCUUUAAAAAGUGUCAAGUUCCUUCAAAUAUAUGUCCUUAAGGAUUAAAGAAUGAAUAUCAUAUGAAGCUCAUUUGGAAAACUACUAGUGAAAAUGUCUACAAUGAUUACAGAAAACUGAACUUAAAAAAAAAAGCACAGUGAAACUGCUUCCUGUAGGGGGUCUUAGGACCCAAGAAAGGCAAUGGAAACAAAGAAAAAGG
Molecule: long non-coding RNA, 342 nt
Organism: Phyllostomus discolor (pale spear-nosed bat)
Lineage: Eukaryota; Metazoa; Chordata; Mammalia; Chiroptera; Phyllostomidae
Exons: 2
Source: RefSeq, a predicted model, not a curated record